AACUAUAACGGUCCUAAGGUAGCGAAAUUCCUUGUCGGGUAAGUUCCGACCCGCAUGAAAGGCGUAAUGAUUUGGGCACUGUCUCAACGAGGGGCCCGGUGAAAUUGAAAUACCUGUGAAGAUGCAGGUUACCCGCGACUGGACAGAAAGACCCCAUGGAGCUUCACUGCAGCUUGAGAUUGAAUCCCGGUGACAGAUGCACAGGAUAGGUGGGAGGCGCCGAAGCAUUGCCCUAGGGCGGUGCGGAGCCGAUGUUGGGAUACCACCCUUCUGUUGCUGAGAUUCUAACGCGAGGAGUAACGACCCUGCGGACCCUCUCAGGCAGGCGGUUUGACUGGGGCGGUCGCCUCCGAAAGAGUAACGGAGGCGCCCAAAGGUUCCCUCAGGCCGGACAGAAACCGGCCGAAGAGUGCAAAGGCAGAAGGGAGCUUGACUGCGAGACCAACAAGUCGAGCAGAGACGAAAGUCGGGCUUAGUGAUCCGGUGGUACUGAGUGGAAAGGCCAUCGCUCAACGGAUAAAAGCUACCCUGGGGAUAACAGGCUAAUCUCUCCCAAGAGUUCAUAUCGACGGGGAGGUUUGGCACCUCGAUGUCGGCUCAUCACAUCCUGGGGCUGGAGUAGGUCCCAAGGGUUGGGCUGUUCGCCCAUUAAAGUGGUACGCGAGCUGGGUUCAAAACGUCGUGAGACAGUUUGGUUCAUAUCCAUCGCGGGCGCAAGAAGUUUGAGAGGAGCUGCUCCUAGUACGAGAGGACCGGAGUGGACGGAUCAACGGUGUCCCAGUUGUCACGCCAGUGGCACGGCUGGAAAGCCGCAUCCGGGAAGGAUAAACGCUGAAAGCAUCUAAGCGCGAAGCCAACCUCAAGAUGAGACUUCUCAUCAGCAAUGAGUAAGACCCCUUACAGACGAUGAGGUAGAUAGGUUAUGAGUGGAAGAGCCGCAAGGCUUGGAGCGACAUAAAACUAAUAGGUCGAGGUCUUAACUUA
Molecule: ribosomal RNA, 984 nt
Filed under: human gut metagenome
Also listed under: 1 other name
Description: bacterial LSU rRNA
Rfam family: Bacterial large subunit ribosomal RNA
Source: RNAcentral